RNAcentral lists this ribosomal RNA (654 nucleotides) under Triticum aestivum (bread wheat). Its description in RNAcentral is "partial small subunit ribosomal RNA". Lineage: Eukaryota; Viridiplantae; Streptophyta; Magnoliopsida; Poales; Poaceae. The record is from RNAcentral.
AUGAUUCCUUUUCCGACUCAAGUACUCCGUCUUCGAACACUCUUCGAAGAGCCGCGCGUCAAGACCGUCAUGCAUCUCGCAACCCGCUACACGUCAAGCAUUCACAAGAGCAAGCCGAUGAGCAAGUCCCUCGUCCUCAAUCAAACCAAGUCGCUUUUGCUCAAGCUCAAGAAUGACAAUGACUACGGCGCCAAGAGGAAGAACGAGCGCGUCUACACCAAGAGCAACAAGACGCCGAGGCUCAAUGUCUUCAAAAACAACAACGAGAAGCACAAGCUCUUGAGGCAGAACGUGCCCUUCAAGAAUCAAGUCGAGCCAUCGCCAACCGCAAUCGCGAACGGCGCAAUCAAGAGGAAGCCCUUAGAGAAGAAAUCCAAGAGAGGAACUACCAUCCGCGUGUCCAACGUCAAGAUCCACAAGCUCCUCCACAAGCUCAUCAAGCUCCACCUCAACCUCAAGGUCAACAAGAGCAAGUUGAUAAUGGACUUCCUCCACGCCAAGAACAACAUGAGGAUGAUUACCCUCCAUGUCAAGGGCGUCAUCAUCACCAUCGCCAACAACACAUUGAAGAGCAACGCUAUGGCAAGCUCAAAUUCACAAUGCCCAAGUUCAAUGGAAGCAAUGAUCCGGAAGAGUACCUCUCAUGGGCACUGA